This 767-nucleotide ribosomal RNA is filed under the name uncultured bacterium. Its description in RNAcentral is "bacterial SSU rRNA". It matches the Rfam family "Bacterial small subunit ribosomal RNA", at positions 25 to 789 of the family's 1533-position model. The record is from RNAcentral.
CAGAUUGAACGCUGGCGGCAUGCCUUACACAUGCAAGUCGAACGGUAACAGGUCUUCGGAUGCUGACGAGUGGCGAACGGGUGAGUAAUACAUCGGAACGUGCCCAGUAAUGGGGGAUAGCUCGGCGAAAGCCGGAUUAAUACCGCAUACGCCCUGAGGGGGAAAGUGGGGGACCGCAAGGCCUCACGUUAUUGGAGCGGCCGAUGGCUGAUUAGCUAGUUGGUAGGGUAAAGGCCUACCAAGGCGACGAUCAGUAGCUGGUCUGAGAGGACGAUCAGCCACACUGGGACUGAGACACGGCCCAGACUCCUACGGGAGGCAGCAGUGGGGAAUUUUGGACAAUGGGGGAAACCCUGAUCCAGCAAUGCCGCGUGUGCGAAGAAGGCCUUCGGGUUGUAAAGCACUUUUGUCAGGGAAGAAAUCCUUUGGGCUAAUACCCUAGGGGGAUGACGGUACCUGAAGAAUAAGCACCGGCUAACUACGUGCCAGCAGCCGCGGUAAUACGUAGGGUGCAAGCGUUAAUCGGAAUUACUGGGCGUAAAGCGUGCGCAGGCGGUUGUGUAAGACAGGUGUGAAAUCCCCGGGCUUAACCUGGGAAUUGCAUUUGUGACUGCACGACUAGAGUGUGUCAGAGGGGGGUGGAACUCCACGUGUAGCAGUGAAAUGCGUAGAUAUGUGGAGGAACACCAAUGGCGAANGCAGCCCCCUGGGAUAACACUGACGCUCAUGCACGAAAGCGUGGGGAGCAAACAGGAUUAGAUACCCUG